GUCGCCGUUGGCUGUGACUCUUUCGGGCCUGGUGGAGGAGCCGAGCCUGGGGAUCGGUGACUGGACGGGAGGCUGGGAGGGGUUAACUGGAGGAAGCCUCCGCGGGGUGGCUGGUGACCCGAGACUUGGCGACGUGGCACUUUGAAUGAGUCCCGGGGAGGGGCUCACGGGGAAGCCGGCGUUGCUGGCAGAGAGGGGAGGAGGGUGAAGAGCGAGACACCGGGUCACAGGGCCUAGGUCAAAGUCUUCCUGAAUGUUGCUAAGAAGAGAAGGGAGAGGAUAGAGAAGAAUUUCCAAGCAUGGGGACCAGCAAAAGUGAAGGCUUGGGACAUGAGAGAACAUGGGUAGAUGAGGCGCUGGCAUCUGUACAUAGAUUCCCAAGGGGACUACUUCGAAGCUGACCGUACUGAUAUUCAGCAAUGAGCUUCCAUGUGGCAAGAAACCAAGGGUGGCCUCCUACUAGCAGCCAGUAAAUCACAAGACCCUCAGUCUGACAACCCAGGAAGAACUGAAUCCUGCCAACAACCACAUGAAUUUGGAAACAGAUCAUUUGCCCAAUCCUGGCCAACAUCUUCUGAGGGGUGCUAAAGCAGAGCAGCCACUUAAGCCAUGUCCAUAUUCCUGACUCACGGAGACAAUUAGAUGGUGAGAAAAGAUGCUGAAACUGAGAAGUGGCUUCCAAGGACUGACUGGAAAAGUGGCAUAGAGGAAACACUGAGAGUGCUAUUCCUAUCACAAAAACAUGUGACAUUCAUCUCAACGUGUAGUCUCCAGGACCUUCAGAGCAGAGAAGAAAAGAGCUGGAGUGUAGCACUCUCUCCUAAAUGCUUCUUCCUAGAAGUGGCACCUUUCUCCUUCCAGCCCACUGGCCAGAACCAAUCACGUGACCCUGCCUAAUUAUGGUCUUGCAGGCCAGCCACCUGGGCGCCUGCCAGCACUGAUGGCUAUUGGAAAUGGACCAAACUUCAUACAUCAGAGGAUCUAAGAAGCAGACUGCAUUCCAUUGUUCAAGUUUUUCUCUUUAAAUUCAUCUUCCCUUAUGGGCCAUAUGUUGUUUUGCCUGUCUGCAAGUAUUAUUCCUGUCUUUUCGUUCUUUGAAAGGCUCAGUAAUAUUUUGGGGGAAAUAGUGUGUUGGCUUAAAUAAGCUUUUUAUUAUGAAUAGAAGUAGAGAUAUAUUUUCCUUGGCCUGGCUUGGACACACUAUUGUUUUCCCAAUUAUUUUUGUUACGUAUUUUGGAAAUUUAAAAUUUUUUAAGUGACUGAAACUCAGAUGCCAGCUGUCCCAUGGACAACUUCUGUUCUCAUUUCAUGCAAACCUAGACACAGGACUCAGCACCAUUAUGCAGUCCCCAGAAAACCCACUUAUAGGACUGUGGUGAAUAUGGUGAAUUUGAAUCCUUGUUCUGGUCAUGGGACCUUUGAUACGUAAAUUAACCUCUCUAAGCCUCAGUUUCCUUAUUUCUAAAAUGGAGAGGCUGGGAAUAGUACCCACCUCACAAAGUUGCUGUCAGGAUCAAAUAAAAU
Hipposideros armiger (great roundleaf bat) is the source of this 1524-nucleotide long non-coding RNA. RefSeq lists it as uncharacterized. The record is from RefSeq and is a predicted model, not a curated record. The transcript is spliced from 7 exons. NCBI's taxonomy places the organism in Eukaryota, Metazoa, Chordata, Mammalia, Chiroptera, Hipposideridae.